This 983-nucleotide long non-coding RNA is filed under the name Homo sapiens (human). Its description in RNAcentral is "HSALNT0198671". Lineage: Eukaryota; Metazoa; Chordata; Mammalia; Primates; Hominidae. The record is from RNAcentral.
GGAGCAGCUGACUUCUGCCCCUGGACCUCAGUGUUGCUCCUUCUCUGGCUUCAGACUCAGACGGAGUCACAUCACUGGCCUUCCAGCUCACAGACACCAGCUUAUGGGUCUUCAGACCUCUUGGCCUCUAUAAUCUUGUUCCUGGUCUUGAGGGCUUCAGCAGUGAAACUGCAAACCUUCCUGCUAGACAGAAAAGUUCUCCAAGUCCUCACUGGACCCAGAAGCGCAACCGGCUUCACCUCUCGCAGUCCAGGCGGGACUUUGCGGCACCUGUCCCAGGCACUCCUGCUUCCCAGAGGGAGGUCUUCCCAGCCAAUCAAGAGGAAGAGAGGAGAAGCUAGUAACAGAAGGAGACCCGCCAUCGUGGCCAACGACACCGCGAAGAGGGAAGGGCGGUCCAUGCACGAGACCCAGCGUCCAAUCAAGCCCAGCAGGCGCCGGCCAGCCGCGCCUGUUUUCCAGACAGUCCAUCUGCUCUUUCCGUGGAACAUGCCCUUCCCAGUGUACCUCACCGCCCGGAGAUACAUCCGUUUCUUUCUGGGAUCUCUAAUUUGAACCUUGUCUGCAAGACCAAUUUUCAUUGUUUUUUGGGUUUUUGUUUUUUGUUUUUUGUUUUUUUUUCCCCCCAGGAAACCAUGUUUACUAAGCAUGUUCUUUUCCAGGUGAAUUUCAGUCAGUGCGUCAAAUUCCGUAAAAGAUGCAAUUGCAGUUUAACUGGGAUUCCACGGUGCAUUUCGAUCACUUUGGGAGACCGUUGACAUCUUUACAAUGUUAAUUUUCUCGUUCAAGAUUUCUCUCCAUUUACUCAGAAAGUUUCUUUUGUGUCUGCCAAUAAAGUUUUAGUUUUCCUCUCACAGGUUUUGUGUGCAUUUUUGUUACUUCCAACCUCUGCCCCCUGGUAUUUUACAGUUUUUCUAGCUAUUGUAAAUGGGACAGCUUCUUUCAAAUGGUUAUUUCUUGUGUAUAAAGAUAUGGAUUUUUAU